UACGUAGGGGGCAAGCGUUGUCCGGAAUCAUUGGGCGUAAAGCGCGUGUAGGCGGCUCGGUAAGUCCGCUCUGAAAGUCCAGGGCUCAACCCUGGGAUGCGGGUGGAUACUGCCGAGCUCGAGUCCGGAAGAGGCGAGUGGAAUUCCUGGUGUAGCGGCGAAAUGCGCAGAUAUCAGGAGGAACACCAAUGGCGAAGGCAGCUCGCUGGGACGUGACUGACGCUGAGACGCGAAAGCGUGGGGAGCAAACAGG
RNAcentral lists this ribosomal RNA (253 nucleotides) under uncultured bacterium. Its description in RNAcentral is "partial 16S ribosomal RNA". It matches the Rfam family "Bacterial small subunit ribosomal RNA", at positions 524 to 776 of the family's 1533-position model. The record is from RNAcentral.